AAAUUGAAGAGUUUGAUCAUGGCUCAGAUUGAACGCUGGCGGCAGGCCUAACACAUGCAAGUCGAACGGUAACAGGAAGCAGCUUGCUGCUUUGCUGACGAGUGGCGGACGGGUGAGUAAUGUCUGGGAAACUGCCUGAUGGAGGGGGAUAACUACUGGAAACGGUAGCUAAUACCGCAUAACGUCGCAAGACCAAAGAGGGGGACCUUCGGGCCUCUUGCCAUCGGAUGUGCCCAGAUGGGAUUAGCUAGUAGGUGGGGUAACGGCUCACCUAGGCAACGAUCCCUAGCUGGUCUGAGAGGAUGACCAG
RNAcentral lists this ribosomal RNA (310 nucleotides) under Escherichia coli. RNAcentral's name for it is "bacterial SSU rRNA". It matches the Rfam family "Bacterial small subunit ribosomal RNA", at positions 1 to 307 of the family's 1533-position model. The record is from RNAcentral. Lineage: Bacteria; Pseudomonadati; Pseudomonadota; Gammaproteobacteria; Enterobacterales; Enterobacteriaceae.